Molecule: transfer RNA, 76 nt
Filed under: Gammaproteobacteria bacterium
Lineage: Bacteria; Pseudomonadati; Pseudomonadota; Gammaproteobacteria
Also listed under: 4 other names
Description: tRNA-Lys
Rfam family: tRNA
About the family: Transfer RNA (tRNA) molecules are approximately 80 nucleotides in length.
Source: RNAcentral
GGGCCGUUAGCUCAGUCGGUAGAGCAGCUGGCUUUUAACCAGUUGGUCGGAGGUUCAAAUCCUCCACGGCCCACCA